RNAcentral lists this ribosomal RNA (253 nucleotides) under uncultured bacterium. Its description in RNAcentral is "partial 16S ribosomal RNA". It matches the Rfam family "Bacterial small subunit ribosomal RNA", at positions 524 to 776 of the family's 1533-position model. The record is from RNAcentral.
GACGAAGGUGGCAAGCGUUGUUCGGAUUCACUGGGCAUAAAGGGCGCGUAGGCGGUUCCGAAGGUGGCGCGUGAAGUCCCCCGGCUCAACCGGGGAACGGCGCGCCAAACCGCUGUUCUCGAGGGCGGUAGGGGGUGCUGGAACUCUCGGUGGAGCGGUGAAAUGCGUAGAUAUCGAGAGGAACACCGGUGGCGAAGGCGAGCACCUGGUCCGCUUCUGACGCUGAGGCGCGAAAGCGUGGGUAGCAAACAGG